Molecule: ribosomal RNA, 432 nt
Filed under: Arhopala anthelus
Lineage: Eukaryota; Metazoa; Arthropoda; Insecta; Lepidoptera; Lycaenidae
Description: partial 12S small subunit ribosomal RNA
Source: RNAcentral
UCAUUCUAGAAACACUUUCCAGUACCUCUACUUUGUUACGACUUAUUCCAACUUUUAAAUGAAAGCGACGGGCAAUAUGUACAUAUUCUAAUUUUUAAUCAUUUUAUUAUAUUAAAUAAAAUUACAUUUAAAUCCACCUUCAUAUUUAUAUUACAAAAAAAAAUCCAUUUAAAUAAAUUUAUUGUAAUCCAUCAUAUUCUUAAUUAUAUUCUACAUCUUGAUCUGAAUUAAUUUCUAUUUUUAAAUUUUAAAUAUUAUUUUUAUUUAAAAAUAUUUUUUUAACAACGAUAUAUAAAAUUUUAAAUUAAGUAAAUUUAAUCGUGGAUUAUCAAUUAUUAGACAGAUUCCUCUAAAUGAACUAAAAUACCGCCAAAUUACUUAAGUUUCAAUAAAUUAUUAUUUACUAUUUUAGUAUUUAUAAAUUAAAUUUUA